This 399-nucleotide ribosomal RNA is filed under the name uncultured bacterium. RNAcentral describes it as "partial 16S ribosomal RNA". It matches the Rfam family "Bacterial small subunit ribosomal RNA", at positions 338 to 734 of the family's 1533-position model. The record is from RNAcentral.
CCUACGGGAGGCAGCAGUGAGGAAUAUUGGUCAAUGGCCGAGAGCCUGAACCAGCCAAGUCGCGUGAAGGAUGACUGCCCUACGGGUUGUAAACUUCUUUUGUCGGGGAGUAAAGUGAGGCACGUGUGCCUUCUUGUGUGUACUUUAUGAAAAAGGAUCGGCUAACUCCGUGCCAGCAGCCGCGGUAAUACGGAGGAACCGAGCGUUAUCCGGAUUUAUUGGGUUUAAAGGGAGCGUAGAUGGGUUGUUAAGUCAGUUGUGAAAUUGGGCGGCUCAACCUUAAAACUGCAAUUGAUACUGGCAGCCUUGAGUAGAGUAGAGGUAGGCGGAAUGCGUGGUGUAGCGGUGAAAUGCAUAGAGAUCACGAAGAACUCCGAUUGCGAAGGCAGCCUACUGGAC